This is a long non-coding RNA of Dermacentor silvarum, 2800 nucleotides long. RefSeq lists it as uncharacterized. The transcript has 2 exons. NCBI's taxonomy places the organism in Eukaryota, Metazoa, Arthropoda, Arachnida, Ixodida, Ixodidae. The record is from RefSeq and is a predicted model, not a curated record.
GGGAAAAAAAAUAGCCCGUCUUUUUUAAUUAUGUUCUUUCUUUUUUUUCGGCAUCGAUAACACGAACCGCCACUUGGCGGUAGAAUUUGCCAUAAAAUUUCAUUCAGUCUAACUAGAGGGAUCUGUGGCGUUGGUUUCAACGGGAGCUAUAGGGUCCCGUAGAAACCAGGUUCAGACCGCAUGGGAGUGAUGGGUAAGUUUAUGGAUUUGCCUAAAUUUCGUCCUUCAAGCUUCAAACGGCUACCUGACUUUGUAAACUCGUCGUUUUCAACAAAGUUCUGUGUAAUAAAUAAUUAAAUAAGCAUCAUUAAAAUUGUAUGACGCCAGGAUUCUAACACAGGACCUCCUGCACAGAAGCCCUGAUAUCGAAGCCAUUACGCCACGAACGCAUGCAUCGACGAGCGGCAUAGAACGACCGUAUGAAUUUUUCGCGGGUCGAAGCCGCUGAGGCGCUUAGCGCGUUUCGAUUUGGCCGCGUCGACAGGCUGGAGCGGUGCAUUUAGUAGCGAUUGUGCGUGUUCGCAGAGUCUCCUGCACUUGGAAAAGUACAGGUUGCACUGAAAUUUAGGACAAAGCCACAAGAACGUCUGAAUCCGCAAGCACGAAAAUAAGGCAAAUCCAUGUACGUAUACCAAUCAGUCCCACAGUGACCGAACGAUUGCAGCGCCAGAGCUCCCUGUAGUAAUUAUUGUAAGGCACUCUGUGGAAUUUGCUCACUUGCAGAAUUGCAAAGUCAAGACAGUUACUGAGCAGUGCACAGUGACGCUCAAGCGAACACCCAUUUGGGCAAUGGUUCGGUAAAAACUCAGUUACGGCGCAGUUACGCUAUUGACCCUUUUUCGAGGCGAUCCCAUGGGCGCUGCCAUGAUUGAUCACGUGCUGAUGCGUCUCUUGCUAUAGCCUUAGCUGCCUCCGUUGCCUUAUAGUGCCUGGAAUAUUCCAGGCACUAUAGUUGCCUCUGUGUUUACAAUGAAUGUACGUACAUGACGCCCGGCGCCACUCAGGAAACCUCUGUUUUGGGGUAUAUCGUAGACACUGACUUGGUGGACAGCACGAAACUUUGGCCACAGCUUCAUAGGACAUGUAAAAGCGCUUUCGGAGCUCAUUAAGCUUUGCCCAAACGGCGCGAGCAGCGUAAAUGGGGCUUGUUCUAAAAGCGAGGCUAAAAUGUAUUUCAAGCUAUCCAAACUUUCUGCUUAUGAAUGGAAUCAGGAUCAGUGUGUUUUGCUCUUCAUUCUUUAUUUGGCAACUACUUUGAAUCAGCGGCGUAUCACGUUUCUGACUCAGUGAAGUUCGUCGAUGCGGUCACUAUUUGAUUAUUUUCUGCCUAAUCGUUCACAGGUGUGCUCAGUUUCAAUAGAUUUGUUCUUGCUGCACACAAGGUGGGAACGUAGUUGUUCUGUACUUUGUAAUAGCUUGUAGCAAAGAUGUAUUAUCGCAUGUAACUCGCUUACUCCUGUGGACCGUCACGAAACAUUCAGUUUCGACCAUCCCUGUGCUGUCGGUGUAGUCCCUGUCACCCAUGCUUUGGCGCAUUGGUUCGAGUGUGCGCCCAUUCACAUAUAUUUAAUACGUUGAAGAUAAAGUGUCCGUAAGUUCCGUGCGAGAUAGGGUAGAUGUGCUUAGAUAAACUGUGCUAAAUUUAAUAUGCCAGGAAGCGGCGCUACUCCCGUUUUCAUUAUUUAACGAGCGGUACUCACUCUUGCCGACGUUCCGGCGUUGAAGUCUUUAGAGGUUAGCGGCACAACGCUGGCAGAUUAGUGAAAUUUUUAGAUCCACGAAGAAAGUCAUGCAUCAAGAAGGGCCGGCAACACAGGCUGUCCGUAGGUAGCAGCGGUCCGUGAACGUGGUCACACAUAUUCAUUCCGUUCCUUAAAAUGCCAGUCACUAUUUUUCCAGCCAACUACUCCACACGUCUUCAAUCUCCCGCUCCACAUGUUCAGCAGGAAUGGAGCACAUUGCAUGAGCAAAAACCCAGUUGCAUUUGCGACAGCUGAUAGCACAGAAACUGGGCAGAAGCGGUAAUGCUUUCGUAUUCGUGCGCUUUCGCUGAAGCAACGUGCGGCGCACCGCCGAAAGCGCCACCUCGUUUCUUGAGAACAAACUGACUGUUCCGCGAAAAGGGUCAAUACGCCGGGGCAAUGUGGACGCUCUAAAGCUUAGUCUAGCGUCAGCGCGCAGCCAGCGUACCUGGCGGCCACGGUUGUGCUUUGGCUCAGUCAUCGCUGGAAUAGAUGACAGGGCACAAAUAGAACGCGUCCCAUCUCACGCCGGAGACGCUAGACCAGAGUGCAUUGCGCGCUAUCUUGGCGGGCCGGCAUCAUGCUGCAGCCUUCAGUUCGAAUGUACUGAAGAGAUUCCACUGAGUUAGCGCCUUUGCAGCCUUCGCCAAACGAAAAAGCGCUCACUCACCGCGCACUUGUGCCCAUGCACUGAUCACCGGGUUGCUGCGUACAACGUUCAACAUCCCGAUCUCUACAGGGAACACAUUUUCGGUGAUCGUAGCAUCGUAGGCGUGUCGUAUCCCACUUUGCUGGCAGCUGCAUGGCGAUUCCAUUGACUGAUAGCUGCGGAGUUUGUGCGUUGAGUGCGUGCUAUUUAAUUACGUAUUUAUUUAUUUACUUCUUGCACGAUAGUGUCAUCUGGUAAGGCGUAAAUUUGCAUGGAAGUAAGUUUGUUUAUUGGCAUAGCAAUUUGCGUAACUUCGUUAGUUCGGUGGAAUCGAGUUUAUUUUUUCUCUUUCUUUUGUUUUCUCUAAGUUUUGCAGCGAAGAUCAUUCGUAACCGAAGACGGGCUAUUU